Molecule: ribosomal RNA, 585 nt
Filed under: uncultured bacterium
Lineage: Bacteria
Description: partial 16S ribosomal RNA
Rfam family: Bacterial small subunit ribosomal RNA
Source: RNAcentral
UGGGGAAUUUUGGACAAUGGGCGAAAGCCUGAUCCAGCAAUGCCGCGUGUGUGAAGAAGGCCUUCGGGUUGUAAAGCACUUUUGUCCGGAAAGAAAUCCUUGGCUCUAAUACAGUCGGGGGAUGACGGUACCGGAAGAAUAAGCACCGGCUAACUACGUGCCAGCAGCCGCGGUAAUACGUAGGGUGCAAGCGUUAAUCGGAAUUACUGGGCGUAAAGCGUGCGCAGGCGGUUUGCUAAGACCGAUGUGAAAUCCCCGGGCUCAACCUGGGAACUGCAUUGGUGACUGGCAGGCUAGAGUAUGGCAGAGGGGGGUAGAAUUCCACGUGUAGCAGUGAAAUGCGUAGAGAUGUGGAGGAAUACCGAUGGCGAAGGCAGCCCCCUGGGCCAAUACUGACGCUCAUGCACGAAAGCGUGGGGAGCAAACAGGAUUAGGUACCCUGGUAGUCCACGCCCUAAACGAUGUCAACUAGUUGUUGGGGAUUCAUUUCCUUAGUAACGUAGCUAACGCGUGAAGUUGACCGCCUGGGGAGUACGGUCGCAAGAUUAAAACUCAAAUGAAUUGACGGGGUCAUAGCUGUUUCCU